RNAcentral lists this ribosomal RNA (778 nucleotides) under uncultured fungus. Its description in RNAcentral is "eukaryotic LSU rRNA". The stretch from base 195 to 348 matches the Rfam family "5.8S ribosomal RNA". Lineage: Eukaryota; Fungi. The record is from RNAcentral.
GCUCGAUUGGUGACAGCGGAGGGACAUUACCGAGUUAUCAACUCCCAAACCCCUGUGAACAUACCUGAACGUUGCUUCGGCGGGACCGCCCCGGCGCCCUUCACCCGGCCCGGAACCAGGCGCCCGCCGGAGGACCACAAACUCUUGUUUAAUCUAGCGGCAUAUUCUGAGUCUAAAAAACAUAAAUGAAUUAAAACUUUCAACAACGGAUCUCUUGGCUCUGGCAUCGAUGAAGAACGCAGCGAAAUGCGAUAAGUAAUGUGAAUUGCAGAAUUCAGUGAAUCAUCGAAUCUUUGAACGCACAUUGCGCCCGCCAGUAUUCUGGCGGGCAUGCCUGUCCGAGCGUCAUUUCAACCCUCAAGCCCCACGGCUUGGUGUUGGGGACCGGCCCCGUGCCGCCCCCUAAAUGCAGUGGCGACCUCGCCGCAGCCUCCCCUGCGUAGUAGCACAACCUCGCAAGCGGAGCGCGGAGACGGUCACGCCGUAAAACGCCCAACUUUCUUAGAGUUGACCUCGGAUCAGGUAGGAAUACCCGCUGAACUUAAGCAUAUCAUAAGCCCGGAAGGAAAUCUGUCCGGGUUAUUUAAACAGGAGUUUGUGGUCUUCUGGCGCGCGCCUGGUUCCUGCGCGGGUGAAGGGCGCCGGGCCGGGUCCGCACGAUGCCUCGUUCAGGUUUGAUCAAGAGGAUUUGAGCAGUCGAUGACCCGGGUAAUGAUCACUCCGCUGGUUUCUCAACGGAGACCGUGGUUACGACUUUUACUUCUCUAAUUGACGAGGA